RNAcentral lists this microRNA precursor (82 nucleotides) under Paramuricea clavata. Lineage: Eukaryota; Metazoa; Cnidaria; Anthozoa; Malacalcyonacea; Plexauridae. The record is from RNAcentral.
UACCUCAAAAUUCCGCAACAGUCUGUUUCAUCAGUAAAGAAUCAUCAGGCGGUAUCUGAUGAAACAGACUGUUGCGGAAUAU